AGUUAAACAGUACGUGAAAUUGUUGAAAGGGAAACGAUUGAAGCCAGUCGUACCUAUGGGUAAUCAGCCUUUUGGGUGUGAUUUUGUGGAGCGUGAGGAGUUAAACGCCUUCAUGCCUGCAUAUUCGUGCACUUUGGGUGUACUUGCCCGUGUGUAAGUUAACAUCAAUUUUGGUGGUCAUAAAAUGGCUGGAGGAAUGUAGCUUCGAUCUUGUAUUGAAGUGUUAUAGCCUUCGGUAGAUGUGACGAUCGGGAUUGAGGAUUGCAACGGAUACCCUUCGGGGCUACCUGUCUGAUCUCUGAUUGUUGCUCUGGUACUGAAAGCUUGCUUACGGUUAUCAAAGUCGAUGGUCAAUAGGUUAGAACGGGUUAAAUUCGUUAAGGAUGUUGACGUAAUGGCUUUAAA
RNAcentral lists this unclassified non-coding RNA (405 nucleotides) under uncultured Rhizophagus. Its description in RNAcentral is "sequence contains 28S rRNA gene". The record is from RNAcentral. Lineage: Eukaryota; Fungi; Glomeromycota; Glomeromycetes; Glomerales; Glomeraceae.